Molecule: long non-coding RNA, 209 nt
Filed under: Lathyrus oleraceus (garden pea)
Lineage: Eukaryota; Viridiplantae; Streptophyta; Magnoliopsida; Fabales; Fabaceae
Description: Pisum sativum (pea) long non-coding RNA (PSAT_LNC007304)
Source: RNAcentral
UUUGAUUUAAUUGUUUCAUUAUCUCCUAUGCCCAUUUGACAAAAUGUAUCCAUGUAAUAAUUUGAUCACUUUAUUUUUAUUUUCUAUCUGGUUAUCUAGUUCUAACACAAUAAUAAAAUCAACCCCCUCUCAAAAACAAAAAAAAAAUAAAAACUCGAUCCAAUGUCGAGUAUUUUCCAAAAGAUAUCUCAACACCACUUUAAACUUUC